AUUGAACGCUGGCGGCAGGCCUAACACAUGCAAGUCGAGCGGAUGAAGGGAGCUUGCUCCUGGAUUCAGCGGCGGACGGGUGAGUAAUGCCUAGGAAUCUGCCUGGUAGUUGGGGAUAACGUCCGGAAACGGGCGCUAAUACCGCAUACGUCCUGAUGGAGAAAGGGGGGGAUCUUCGGACCUCACGCUAUCAGAUGAGCCUAGGUCGCAUUAGCUAGUUGGUGGGGUAAAGGGCUACCAAGGCGACGAUCCGUAACUGGUCUGAGUGGAUGAUCAGUCACACUGGAACUGAGACACGGUCCAGACUCCUACGGGAGGCAGCAGUGGGGAAUCUUGGACAAUGGGCGAAAGCCUGAUCCAGCAAUGCCGCGUGUGUGAAGAAGGUCUUCGGAUUGUAAAGCACUUUAAGUUGGGAGGAAGGGAAGUAAGUUAAUCCAUUCAUGUUUUGACGUUACCAAAAGAAUAAGCCCCGGCUAACUUCGUG
RNAcentral lists this ribosomal RNA (484 nucleotides) under uncultured bacterium. RNAcentral's name for it is "partial 16S ribosomal RNA". It matches the Rfam family "Bacterial small subunit ribosomal RNA", at positions 30 to 507 of the family's 1533-position model. The record is from RNAcentral.